UAAUACGUAGGGGGCAAGCGUUGUCCGGAUUUAUUGGGCGUAAAGAGCGUGUAGGCGGCCAGACAGGUCCGUUGUGAAAACUCGAGGCUCAACCUCGAGACGUCGACGGAAACCGUCUGGCUAGAGUCCGGAAGAGGAGUGUGGAAUUCCUGGUGUAGCGGUGAAAUGCGCAGAUAUCAGGAAGAACACCUAUGGCGAAGGCAGCACUCU
RNAcentral lists this ribosomal RNA (210 nucleotides) under uncultured bacterium. RNAcentral's name for it is "partial 16S ribosomal RNA". It matches the Rfam family "Bacterial small subunit ribosomal RNA", at positions 521 to 730 of the family's 1533-position model. The record is from RNAcentral.